ACUGCUCAGUAACACGUGGACAACCUGCCCUUAGGUUGGGUAUAAACCCGGGAAACUGGGUAUAAUACCCGAUAGGUCUCGAUUGCUGGAAUGCAUCGAUAUUUAAAGCUCCGGCGCCUAAGGAUGGGUCUGCGGCCUAUCAGGUAGUAGUGGGUGUAGCGUACCUACUAGCCUACGACGGGUACGGGUUGUGAGAGCAAGAGCCCGGAGAUGGAUUCUGAGACACGAAUCCAGGCCCUACGGGGUGCAGCAGGCGCGAAAACUUUACAAUGCUGGCAACAGCGAUAAGGGAACCUCGAGUGCCAGGUUACAAAUCUGGCUGUCGAGAUGCCUAAAAAGCAUUUCAUAGCAAGGGCCGGGCAAGACCGGUGCCAGCCGCCGCGGUAACACCGGCGGCUCGAGUGGUAACCGUUAUUAUUGGGUCUAAAGGGUCUGUAGCCGGCCGGAUAAGUCUCUUGAGAAAUCUGGCAGCUUAACUGUCAGGCUUUCAGGAGAUACUGUCUGGCUCGAGGCCGGGAGAGGUGAGAGGUACUUCAGGGGUAGGGGUGAAAUCUUGUAAUCCUUGAAGGACCACCAGUGGCGAAGGCGUCUCACCAGAACGGACCUGACGGCAAGGGACGAAAGCUAGGGGCACGAACCGGAUUAGAUACCCGGGUAGUCCUAGCCGUAAACGAUACUCGCUAGGUGUCGGCCACGGUGCGACCGUUGUCGGUGCCGUAGGGAAGCCGUGAAGCGAGCCACCUGGGAAGUACGGCCGCAAGGCUGAAACUUAAAGGAAUUGGCGGGGGAGCAC
RNAcentral lists this ribosomal RNA (793 nucleotides) under uncultured archaeon. RNAcentral describes it as "bacterial SSU rRNA". It matches the Rfam family "Archaeal small subunit ribosomal RNA", at positions 85 to 879 of the family's 1478-position model. The record is from RNAcentral.